GUACGUUUUCGUAUCAAACAAUCUGGUUUGGGGACCAUGGUAGUCUACGCCGUAAACGAUGUCGACUUGGAGGCUGUUCCCCUGAGGAGUGGCUUCCGGAGCUAACGCGUUAAGUCGACCGCCUGGGGAGUACGGCCGCAAGGUUAAAACUCAAAUGAAUUGACGGGGGCCCGCACAAGCGGUGGAGCAUGUGGUUUAAUUCGAUGCAACGCGAAGAACCUUACCUGGCCUUGACAUCCACGGAAUUUUGCAGAGAUGCGGAAGUGCCUUCGGGAACCGUGAGACAGGUGCUGCAUGGCUGUCGUCAGCUCGUGUUGUGAAAUGUUGGGUUAAGUCCCGCAACGAGCGCAACCCUUAUCCUUUGUUGCCAGCGAUUCGGUCGGGAACUCAAAGGAGACUGCCGGUGAUAAACCGGAGGAAGGUGGGGAUGACGUCAAGUCAUCAUGGCCCUUACGGCCAGGGCUACACACGUGCUACAAUGGCGCAUACAAAGAGAAGCGACCUCGCGAGAGCAAGCGGACCUCAUAAAGUGCGUCGUAGUCCGGAUCGGAGUCUGCAACUCGACUCCGUGAAGUCGGAAUCGCUAGUAAUCGUAGAUCAGAAUGCAACUGCGACUCCGUGAACGGGCCUUGUACACACCGCCCGUCACACCAUGGGAGUGAGUUGCAAAAGAAGUAGGUAGCUUAACCUUCGGGAGGGCGCUUACCACUUUGUGAUUCAUGACUGGGGUGAAGUCGUAACAAGGUAACCGUAGGGGAACCUGCGGUUGGAUCACCUCCUUACCUGAAGAUACCUUCCCGCGUAGUGUCCACACAGAUUGUCUGAUAGAAGUAAUGAGCAACAUCGUAACAGAGUCCCCAUCGUCUAGAGGCCCAGGACACUGCCCUUUCACGGCUGUAACAGGGGUUCGAAUCCCCUUGGGGACGCCAUCCCUGAUAAUGAGUGAAAGACAUUAUCAACCGUAUCUCAAAACUGAUUCCUCCGCAAAGAUGAGUCACGUUUGAGAUAUUUGCUCUUUAACAAUCCGGAACAAGCUGAAAAUUGAAACGACAUGUCGUUUUCAUUCUCCGUAAUAAGAAUGAAAAUAACGAUAUGUUCGAGUCUCUCAAUGCUUACAACAGCAGUGUGUCUUUCGGGACUCUUGUGGGUUGUGAGGUUAAGUGACUAAGCGUACACGGUGGAUGCCCUAACAGUCAGAGGCGAUGAAGGGCGUGCUAAUCUGCGAUAAGCGUCGGUAAGGUGAUAUGAACCGCAACAACCGACGAUACCCGAAUGGGGAAACCCAACCGGGGGAACUGAAACAUCUAAGUACCCCGAGGAAAAGAAAUCAACCGAGAUUCCCCCAGUAGCGGCGAGCGAACGGGGAACAGCCCAGAACCUGAAUCAGUUUGUGCUUUAGUGGAAGCGUCUGGAAAGUCGCGCAGUAAAGGGUGACAGCCCCGUACACAAAAAGGCACUUAUUGUGAGUUCGAUGAGUAGGGCGGGACACGUGACAUCCUGUCUGAAUAUGGGGGGACCAUCCUCCAAGGCUAAAUACUCCUGACUGACCGAUAGUGAACCAGUACCGUGAGGGAAAGGCGAAAAGAACCCCGGCGAGGGGAGUGAAACAGAACCUGAAACCGUGUACGUACAAGCAGUGGGAGCACCUUCGUGGUGUGACUGCGUACCUUUUGUAUAAUGGGUCAGCGACUUAUAUUCUGUAGCAAGGUUAACCGUAUAGGGGAGCCGCAGGGAAACCGAGUCUUAACCGGGCGUUAAGUUGCAGGGUAUAGACCCGAAACCCGGUGAUCUAGCCAUGGGCAGGUUGAAGGUUGGGUAACACUAACUGGAGGACCGAACCGACUAAUGUUGAAAAAUUAGCGGAUGACUUGUGGCUGGGGGUGAAAGGCCAAUCAAACCGGGAGAUAGCUGGUUCUCCCCGAAAGCUAUUUAGGUAGCGCCUCGUGAACUCAUCUCCGGGGGUAGAGCACUGUUUCGGCCAGGGGGCCAUCCCGGCUUACCGAUCCGAUGCAAACUGCGAAUACCGGAGAAUGUUAUCACGGGAGACACACGGCGGGUGCUAACGUCCGUCGUGAAGAGGGAAACAACCCAGACCGCCAGCUAAGGUCCCAAAGUCAUGGUUAAGUGGGAAACGAUGUGGGAAGGCCCAGACAGCCAGGAUGUUGGCUUAGAAGCAGCCAUCAUUUAAAGAAAGCGUAAUAGCUCACUGGUCGAGUCGGCCUGCGCGGAAGAUGUAACGGGGCUAAACCAUGCACCGAAGCUGCGGCAGCGGACGUAUCACCCGGGCACAUUCACGGUAGUGGAUAACGAUUGACGGAGCGCAGCGACGUCAAUGCGCCCAUUAAAGUCGAGUGGGCCUCGGGAUACGUCCGUUGGGUAGGGGAGCGUUCUGUAAGCCGUCGAAGGUGGACCGUGAGGUCUGCUGGAGGUAUCAGAAGUGCGAAUGCUGACAUAAGUAACGAUAAAGCGGGUGAAAAGCCCGCUCGCCGGAAGACCAAGGGUUCCUGUCCAACGUUAAUCGGGGCAGGGUGAGUCGACCCCUAAGGCGAGGCCGAAAGGCGUAGUCGAUGGGAAACGGGUUAAUAUUCCCGUACUGGGUGUUACUGCGAAGGGGGGACGGAGAAGGCUAUGUUGGCCGGGCGACGGUUGUCCCGGUUUAAGCGUGCAGGCUUGAGUUCCAGGCAAAUCCGGAACUCUUUAAGGCUGAGGCGUGAUGACGAGGCACCACGGUGCUGAAGUGACAAAUGCCCUGCUUCCAGGAAAAGCCUCUAAGCAUCAGGUAACAUCCAAUCGUACCCCAAACCGACACAGGUGGUCAGGUAGAGAAUACCAAGGCGCUUGAGAGAACUCGGGUGAAGGAACUAGGCAAAAUGGUGCCGUAACUUCGGGAGAAGGCACGCUGGCGCGUAGGUGAAGCGACUUGCUCGCGGAGCUGAAGCCAGUCGAAGAUACCAGCUGGCUGCAACUGUUUAUUAAAAACACAGCACUGUGCAAACACGAAAGUGGACGUAUACGGUGUGACGCCUGCCCGGUGCCGGAAGGUUAAUUGAUGGGGUUAUCCGAAAGGAGAAGCUCUUGAUCGAAGCCCCGGUAAACGGCGGCCGUAACUAUAACGGUCCUAAGGUAGCGAAAUUCCUUGUCGGGUAAGUUCCGACCUGCACGAAUGGCGUAAUGAUGGCCAGGCUGUCUCCACCCGAGACUCAGUGAAAUUGAACUCGCUGUGAAGAUGCAGUGUACCCGCGGCAAGACGGAAAGACCCCGUGAACCUUUACUACAGCUUGACACUGAACAUUGAGCCUUGAUGUGUAGGAUAGGUGGGAGGCUUGGAAGCGUGGACGCCAGUCUGCGUGGAGCCAACCUUGAAAUACCACCCUUUAACGUUUGAUGUUCUAACCUGGCGCCGUAAUCCGGCGUGGGGACAGUGUCUGGUGGGUAGUUUGACUGGGGCGGUCUCCUCCCAAAGAGUAACGGAGGAGCACGAAGGUCAGCUAAUCACGGUCGGACAUCGUGAGGUUAGUGCAAUGGCAUAAGCUGGCUUGACUGCGAGAGUGACGGCUCAAGCAGGUGCGAAAGCAGGUCAUAGUGAUCCGGUGGUUCUGAAUGGAAGGGCCAUCGCUCAACGGAUAAAAGGUACUCCGGGGAUAACAGGCUGAUACCGCCCAAGAGUUCAUAUCGACGGCGGUGUUUGGCACCUCGAUGUCGGCUCAUCACAUCCUGGGGCUGAAGUAGGUCCCAAGGGUACGGCUGUUCGCCGUUUAAAGUGGUACGCGAGCUGGGUUUAGAACGUCGUGAGACAGUUCGGUCCCUAUCUGCCGUGGGCGCUGGAAGAUUGAGAGGGGUUGCUCCUAGUACGAGAGGACCGGAGUGAACGCACCGCUGGUGUUCGGGUUGUCAUGCCAAUGGCAUUGCCCGGUAGCUAAGUGCGGAAAAGAUAAGCGCUGAAAGCAUCUAAGCGCGAAACUUGCCUCGAGAUGA
RNAcentral lists this unclassified non-coding RNA (3975 nucleotides) under Erwinia pyrifoliae. RNAcentral's name for it is "partial contains 16S ribosomal RNA, 16S-23S ribosomal RNA intergenic spacer, and 23S ribosomal RNA". The stretch from base 1155 to 3975 matches the Rfam family "Bacterial large subunit ribosomal RNA". The record is from RNAcentral. Lineage: Bacteria; Pseudomonadati; Pseudomonadota; Gammaproteobacteria; Enterobacterales; Erwiniaceae.